GUAGUCGUGGCCGAGUGGUUAAGGCGAUGGACUUGAAAUCCAUUGGGGUUUCCCCACGCAGGUUUGAAUCCUGCCGACUACG
RNAcentral lists this transfer RNA (82 nucleotides) under Danio rerio (zebrafish). Its description in RNAcentral is "tRNA-Ser (TGA) (tRNA-Ser-TGA-37-1)". It matches the Rfam family "tRNA". Rfam says of the family: Transfer RNA (tRNA) molecules are approximately 80 nucleotides in length. Lineage: Eukaryota; Metazoa; Chordata; Actinopteri; Cypriniformes; Danionidae. RNAcentral also lists the same sequence under 1 other name. The record is from Rfam by way of RNAcentral.